UCUGUAGGGUGAACCUGCGGAGGGAUCAUUACAGAGUUGCAAAACUCCCAAACCAUUGUGAACGUUACCUUCAAACCGUUGCUUCGGCGGGCGGCCCGGGUCCGCCCGGUGCCCCCUGGCCCCCUAGCGGGGCGCCCGCCGGAGGAAACCCAACUCUUGAUUAUUAUGGCCUCUCUGAGUCUUCUGUACUGAAUAAGUCAAAACUUUCAACAACGGAUCUCUUGGUUCUGGCAUCGAUGAAGAACGCAGCGAAAUGCGAUAAGUAAUGUGAAUUGCAGAAUUCAGUGAAUCAUCGAAUCUUUGAACGCACAUUGCGCCCGCCAGUAUUCUGGCGGGCAUGCCUGUUCGAGCGUCAUUUCAACCAUCAAGCCCCAGGCUUGUGUUGGGGACCUGCGGCUGCCGCAGGCCCUGAAAACCAGUGGCGGGCUCGCUGUCACACCGGGCGUAGUAGAUUUUAUCUCGCUCAGGGCGUGCUGCGGGUUCCGGCCGUUAAAAAGCCUUUUUUACCCAAGGUUGACCUCGGAUCAGGUAGGAAGACCCGCUGAACUUAAGCAUAUCAAUAAGGCGGAGGA
This 572-nucleotide ribosomal RNA is filed under the name Botryotrichum murorum. RNAcentral's name for it is "eukaryotic LSU rRNA". The stretch from base 202 to 355 matches the Rfam family "5.8S ribosomal RNA". Lineage: Eukaryota; Fungi; Ascomycota; Sordariomycetes; Sordariales; Chaetomiaceae. The record is from RNAcentral.